RNAcentral lists this ribosomal RNA (621 nucleotides) under uncultured organism. Its description in RNAcentral is "bacterial SSU rRNA". It matches the Rfam family "Bacterial small subunit ribosomal RNA", at positions 801 to 1416 of the family's 1533-position model. The record is from RNAcentral.
CGUAAACGAUGGGCACUAAAUGGUGGAGGCGCCGAUAGCUGGCGCCGUAGCAGCUAAUACGUUAAGUGCCCCGCCUGGGGAGUAUGCCCGCUAAGGUUACAACUCAAAGGAAUUGACGGGGGCCCACGCAACCGGUGGAGGAUGUGGCUUAAUUCGAGGAUACCCGUAAAACCUUACCGAGGCUUGACAUGCAGGUGGUAGUGAAGUGAAAGCGGAACGACCCGAAUAGGGAGCCUGCACAGGUGCUGCAUGGCUGUCGACAGCUCGUGUCGUGAGAUGUUAGGUUAAGUCCUGUAACGAGCGAUACCCUUGUGCUUAAUUGCCAGCGCGUUAUGGCGGGGACCUUAAGCAGACUGCCCCGGCCAACGGGGAGGAAGGUGGGGAUGACGUCAAGUCAGCAUGGCCUUUAUGCCUCGGGCUGCACACGUCCUACAAUGGGCUGUACAAUGGGGACCCAAACCGCAAGGUGGAGGAAAUCCUAUAAAGCAGUCCUCAGUUCGGAUUGCAGGCUGAAAUUCGCCUGCAUGAAGAUGGAAUCGCUAGUAAUCGCCGGUCAGCAUACGUCGUGAUAUACCUCCAGGGACCUUGUACUACACCGCCCGUCAACCACCCGACUUGGGA